AACGAACGCUGGCGGCAUGCCUAACACAUGCAAGUCGAACGAGACCUUCGGGUCUAGUGGCGCACGGGUGCGUAACGCGUGGGAACCUGCCCUUAGGUUCGGAAUAACUCCCCGAAAGGGGUGCUAAUACCGGAUAAUGUCUUCGGACCAAAGAUUUAUCGCCUUUGGAUGGGCCCGCGUUGGAUUAGCUAGUUGGUAGGGUAAAAGCCCACCACGGCGACGAUCCAUAGCUGGUCUGAGAGGAUGAUCAGCCACACUGGGACUGAGACACGGCCCAGACUCCUACGGGAGGCAGCAGUGGGGAAUAGUGGACAAUGGGCGAAAGCCUGAUCCAGCAAUGCCGCGUGAGUGAUGAAGGCCUUAGGGUUGUAAAGCUCUUUUACCCGGGAUGAUAAUGACAGUACCGGGAGAAUAAGCUCCGGCUAACUCCGUG
Molecule: ribosomal RNA, 433 nt
Filed under: uncultured bacterium
Lineage: Bacteria
Description: partial 16S ribosomal RNA
Rfam family: Bacterial small subunit ribosomal RNA
Source: RNAcentral